UUUUGAACAUCAACAUUUCUGCUAAUUACAACAUCAGUUGAAUCUUAUUUUGUUUGUACUGCUGUCACAUUGUUCUGACUGUCAACCUGUAUCUUUCUACAAGAGGAACAGCAAAGCUUGGGAUUUCAGACCUGUCCUGAAUCUAUGAGCAGCCUAAUGUGAAAGCUGCGUUCUGCAGUGCAGUGACACACCUAUUUUUGUACAGAACAAAGAACGUUUGGUGCUGAUCUCUUGCCUCAGUUUAUUAAAUGGUUUCCAGGAUAUUUAUCAGACCUAGAUUUUCUGUAGGACAGACUGGGCGGUUGUUAGUAGUUUGUUGAAUAGUAAAUGAAGAGUCAGCCCUUCGGUCUGCUAAAAGAUUAUUCACAGAACUAAUCAUGCGUUCUCAGAUUUGUUUCUCAAAGAACUCUGGUUUUCUGAGUUUGUAACAGUUCUAACAUCAAGGUAUUCCUACUUUUGACUCUAAUAUUUUUUAUUAACAGCAAAGGCAUGGUGAAAAUGCCACUUAUUAUCUAAAAGAUAUGUUUACAACUGUUUAAGACUGUGAGGCCUUUUAUUGAACAAAGAGACUGUAUUUUGUGAUUCAAAACCCAGGGUGCUGGAUGAUGAGCCUCAGGAACUCAGCAGUAUUAAUUCACCACCUGCACAUCGCAGCCUGUGUUCCCAGGUGAGGACCAGGUGUGGGCAGAACUCUGCAGCUGCCCUCUGCUGACGCACAUCGCUGCUCCCUGCACCUUCACAACACACCAGCAGCUCCACGUGGCGGUGGGAAUCGUCUCUCUGCUGUGCCCGGCGUGGAAUGAGAGAAAUUUAAACCCUAUUCCAAAGAAUGUUACAUAUGUUGUCAUUUGCAUGCAGGUUGUUUUCAUUUGGGGGUAACAUGCUCAAGAAUUUAUUGUAUGGGUUGAGAAAGUUAGCUUGGGGUCUAAACUGAACUUUGUUGGGUUUUUUGAGUUGCUUGUCUGUACCAUAUAUUCAGAAAUUUUGUUAUAAGGGUUGCUGUAAGUUUAUAUCACAGCAGUAAUUUUAUGUUGACUUCAUUUACCUCCUGUGCAGGAUCAACCUUGCUGAAACAUAGAAAUGCACUAAGUCCUACGAGUAUAAAUCUUUAAGAGAGUUCAAAUUGGAACUUCACAAUGUUUUUCUCUGAACGAGUAUGGGGGUAAAGCCAUCUUCUGAAUUUUUGCACUACCAGAGUUAAGUAUCUGCAGCCCAUUGUGCUUUUUAUGCCUUGUGAUUGUCGUCGUCUGGCCUUCAGGUCAGGAUUUUCCUAGAAAUAAUUUCAUCGGUUUCAGUAAGUUUUCCCAAUGUUUUGCUAAGCUUUGGUUAUCGCUAUGCCAGCUGUAAGCAUCUCUGUCACCAGCAGUGGACGAUGUAACUGGGUUAAGUUCUUGUUUCUAAACGCUUUUCUGUGGGAGGAUUUUUACUGGGCAUACUGAUUUUAGAUCUGUGAAUAGAUUUUGUGUGUGUGUGUGCGUCUUUGUGAUAUUACUUAAAUAUAUUUUGCUGGUUUGGAUGCUCAUUUCCAUUUCGUGCUUCUUUUAUCACUUCCAGAACUUUCCAAAAUCUGUGUGCCCUCUUGAAUUGCAUCUGGGGUCUUUCUCUGUGUGUACAGCUCGUUUUAAUGUAUUUUUAUAGUUAGAAGAUACAGCAGCAAUUUCUAAAAAAUAAGGAUUAUCUGUAGUUUAACAGUUCAAUAGAAAGGAUAAAUGUUUGCUUAAAUUAUUAACACACCUUUUGCCUUGUCCUUUUCAGUAAGAUCUGGCUCUAAGGGUAAUGUAAGUUUCUGUCUGAACCAGAUGAAGCCUGGGAUUACAAAGCAGAGAGAAACUGUGAUACUGUAUAACGCUGAAGAGGUCAAAUCUGCACCUUUAUUCCUCUUCAGAGCUGCUGGGGAGGAUCUUGUGCUCCCUCCUCUUGAAGCAGCCUUAACAUUUCUCUUAGACUGGGACUGGGCUGUGAGCUGGGCAGUGAAGACUGCAGGGGAAGUGCAGGAGAAGCAGAGCUGCUGGUGACAUGAGCAAUGGGGGACAAUAACUGUGCACUGCCUUAAGACGUUGGCCAGCUCAGUACAAUCAAAAUUUGACUUCUAACUUAUGACUGAAUCCCUUACUUUUGCAACAUAUCCAUCAGUGUAAUGUUCUGUAGGUCAUGUCUGUCAAGUCGUAAAUUCAGAGGCAGCCUUGGAGGGCACCACAUCUGUACCCCAGUGCUGCUCAGCAGCUAUCCUAACUCUCUCUGAAUGGAGUUGAGCAUCCAUGGCACAGGCUUGGGAAUUUUUGUUUCAUUUAAAAAUUUUUUGGCCCAAAAAAGAAAUCCGUUGGAUUCAGUCAGUAUGAGUGUUCAAAAAACGUUUCUCCUCGGGUGCUGUCAUACACUCGUGCUGGAAAAUAAGUAUAACCUGAGCAUACUUAGUAAAGAGGUUUUACUUAGGCCAUUACUGUGCUGUAGUUUAAAACACUUUUCAAAUUCAAUUCUCCAAAAAUUGUCUUGUUCUCAAAAAACCUUCAGUUGUUGGAGUCACGCAGUUGUUGGUUAGGAAAGAAGAUGAAACCGACUUGUGGAAAAUACAGGAUUUGGUUACACUUGACUAGUUUGUAGGGUGAGAAAUAGAAUCAUAGAAUCACUCAGGUUGGAAAAGACCUUAAAGAUCAUUGAGUCCAACCACGACCCAACCAUCCUACCCUAACUCUAACAAGCCUCUGCUAAAUCAUGUCCCUGAACACCACAUCCAAACGGUCUGUAAACACAUCCAGGGAUGGUGACUCAACCACCUCCCUGGGAAGCCUAUUCCAGGGCUUAACAACCCUUUCUGUAAAGAAGCGUUUCCUGAAAUCUAACCUAAACGUUAAAAAAAAUUAACCACUUCUUAGUGGGAAAAGAUCAGGCACAUUGAUUUGGAGCAUGAAGUACAUGAAGGCACAAAGGAUUCCAGUUCCUUGCUGAGGAGCAGCCCUCAGCUGAGGUCCCUUUGCUGUUGGAUCUGUUGAGCAGUACCACUGUGGAGUGGAAUACAGAUGUGCUCCCAGCACAGUGUCAGCCUACAGGUGGGAAAACUGGAUCCAGAAGAAGGCUGCCAGUCCUACAGAGCUCACCUUUGGAGUUCAGGCCCAGCGUGAGCACAGCUCCUCACGCAGCCAGGUGCACACCUCAGGUGUUGGGAAGGCUUGGCACACUGUUAGGUCCAAGCAGAAAGCUACUCCAAAUCCAUGCAUGCAGCUGCUUACAGCCAUUGGCAUGGAAAAAUUAAAAUUUCAAUCCUCAUUAACUACUGGUUAUCUUCUCCACAACAAUAGUAUCACCACCUCAAGGUGCACUGAAAUGCUUUGGAUUCUUACCUCAGACACCACCCAGCUGAGCUAGGGACCUGGCAGAGAAAUGCGUCAAGCUCUGUUGAUGACAGGCUGUUCGAUAGGUAAUAGCUGCUAACAAAGCCAUCCCACAAACAGGGCCAGGAUGCUGGAAGACAAUCUGUCAGCCUGUGACAUGGACUGUGGGCAUCCUUUGCAAAUUGAGGAGAGCCGCCUGGCGGAGAUUUGCAACAGCCAGAAAAGAAGUCAAAACUUUUUGCAAAAAAAAAAAAA
This is a long non-coding RNA of Gallus gallus (chicken), 3584 nucleotides long. Lineage: Eukaryota; Metazoa; Chordata; Aves; Galliformes; Phasianidae. The record is from Ensembl.